Long non-coding RNA from Pongo pygmaeus (Bornean orangutan), 7974 nucleotides. RefSeq lists it as uncharacterized. The record is from RefSeq and is a predicted model, not a curated record. Lineage: Eukaryota; Metazoa; Chordata; Mammalia; Primates; Hominidae. The transcript has 4 exons.
UUCUGUCAGUUGCUUGGUGCUGAAAUUCGUGCGGAUCGCGCUGGAGGGGCUAGCGGCCCCAUACUCGGCGAGUUUGCCUGCAACGUAAAGACAGAGCGUCAGCCAGGCCAAAGGCCGGGGACAGAACGUGGGUGAGCAGUGGAGCUAGUUAGAAUCAAAGUCCCAGCGCAGCCCUCCUGGGUCCCUAGGAACAGAAUUUGUGCCAAGAGACAUUCCACGGAGAGCUCCUUCCUGAAAUUUUCUGAAUGCCUGGCACAUUUUCCGAGUCUGUACUCGAGGCAGACUCAAUGGAAUUCGCCCGGGAACGCGUCUCCUCCACAAAACCCAAACCGCUGUCUGGAGAGGCAGCGGCACCAAGCUCCCAGCGCAUUUCCGCGGGGGAGGCUCCGUCCCCAACCCCAGGUGGCCCCAUCCAAGGCCCGCGGACUUACCUUUCUUAGAGGCAUUCCUCUUCACUUUCAUCCACUCGAACGUGCUGAAGGCGGCAGGGAGGCCGCAGGCGGGAGAGACGGACUUGGGGUAGGUGCCUGGGGCCGGGGAUGCGGUCUGGAAAGCACCAGGGUGGCCGUCGUCUGGCGCUUUGAGACACGCCGGAAAGGGGCCGGGCUCGCCGAAGGCCGCGUAAUCCACCUGGCCGCUGAGGAGGAAAGAGCCGCCGCCCGAGAAGACGGCCGAGGUGGCGUAGUGGACGUGAGACCCGCCGUCGUCGGCCGCCCGCCCCAGCACGCCCGGGAAGUCGUACGCCGGCCCGGACCCCAGGAAGCCGUAGUCCGCGCCCCCCGCUGCCGCGGCAGGUGCGGCACCAGAAAUAAAUUAAUUUAUACCUCUAUCAGCAAUAUAUGAGAGUUCCUGUCUCCUCACACCUUUGCCAAGUCAAUGGGAUGUUGAAGUUUUUAUGUUUGCCAAUCUGGUAAGUGAAAAAUAAUACCUUUUAUUUACUCUUAUAACAUCUCCCAAAAUAUCUCUCUUCCUUAUCUUGAGCCUUUCAUAAUUCUGUAUUACAAAUGAUAAUACUAACACAGAAAAGAUAACCAACUUGCUGUAAUCACACCUGGUGUAAAUGGCCAAAGUCAGAUGUUCAGCACUCUUCCCUAUACUACACCAUUCCACACAGGGCUCAAGGAGGUUCAAAAGAGAGUAGGUGGCUUCAAGCAUUCCCUGAAAGACACAUGAUAUUUAAAAAAAAAAAAAGCAUGGAAGCUUUCUGACAUCUGCUAAAAGACCUCUUCUUUAGUGGUUUGAUACCAAGAACACAUUUCUGCAUGAAUCCUCCAGCAAGUACCGCUCUUGAAGGAGACGGUUCUGAAUAGCAAUUUGAUCUGACCUGGUCCUAAACAUUAGCUUGGAUUCAAUAUCUAGGAAGCAGUAGGAUGUUGUUGUUUUUAAUUUCUCUAAGACAUUUCUCACUGGACACCCGGGAUCUAAGUAUUCAUCAGCAUGGUGUGAGUGCGGGUGUGUUUUUCCUAGGUUUUAGCUUUAUAUAGAACACUCACUUGGGCCUGGUGAAGAUACCAGUACCUAACACACAUUCCCAUACAACUCUAAUGAUAAGCCUAUGAGGUAGAUAUCUUUAUUGAUUCUUUCACUAAUGAAACUGAAGUCCAGAAAGAUUAAGUGGGUUGCUUAGGGCCACACAGUGUAUCAGUAGCAAAGCAGAAAAUACAACGUAGACUGCAACCGAACUCAUUAGAUUCCUUGCAAAGCCUUCUCUUCUCCCUCCUCUAUUCAUUUUAGUGAAUGACGUGACUCAGUCCCUCAAAUCCACAACUCCUCUUUUACUCAUCCAAUUGAUCACUAAGUCCUGUGAAUUCUACCCCUAAAUGUCUUUUCUCUUCACUCUUGUUACAUUAGUUCCUCUCUCUGCCGUGUUGUUGCAGUCACCUCCUAUUUUGUUCUUCUUGCCUCCUAUCUCUCCUUUCUCUAAUCAGCACAGCAUCCCUGAGUUAGCUUCAAAAUAUGUUACUUCACAUCCCAGCUUAAAACCUGCAGUGGUUCCCCAUUCUCUAGAGAGUAGGUCCAGACUCCUUCACGUGAACCCUGUGCAAUCUCUCUUUUCAGCCAGGAUAACCAAACUCCAAAGUACUCUCCUUGUUCCAAGCCCAGACUUUGCUUUUUCCUCCCUCUUUGCUUUUGCAUGAGUUGUCCUCUCUAUCUGGUAUGGCCUUCCCUUCUUGGCCUGAAAAACGCUUAUGUUUCAGGAACCCGAAUUCACCUCCUCUGAAACUAUUUUUUCGACAUUAUAGUACUACUAGUGGCUCCUUUUUUAUUAGAGGAACAUUUUGACCACACCUCCGUUAUAGCACCUGUCGUAUUGUUUUAAGAUUAUUUCUCUUCCCCACUAGAUUGAAGAGCAUACACCAUCAGUGACUUGUCUUUGUAUCCCAGAGCCCAGCACAGUGUGUAUAGGAGCUGUUCACUAGAAAUUGGUGAAAGGCAAGGAGGAGGAACAGACUGAACCAAGGACAGCAGGACCAGUAGUUUCAUUGCUCAGUGAGUUCAGGACACUGUGUGAGGCUUAAUGCUUCAGCUUAUAUCUAUCUGAAGCAACAUGGUAGAACAUUUUUCCAAAGCAAGUUAAUUUUCCACGCAAGAGGAUGAAGGGAGAGAAGGCUGAAGGAAGAGGGGGCAAAGCUGAGGCUUUCUCUCCUUCAGGUAGUAUUUUCUGUGGGCUGAGGCAACACAUUUACUAACUUCAGAAACAGCUCAGCUGAAGUCCCCCAGCAAAAAAGGGUAAAAGGGGAACUAGGCUGGAACUUUGUUAGGAUUUACAAAGAGAACAGCAUGACCACUCCAGAAGGGUUUAAAAAUGCUUCACCACUAACUCCACCAAACCCUCCUGCUGUAAACAGCUCUAAUGCUAGUGACUACCCUCAGACACUUGCUGUCUAUCCCUUUAGGGUGUUCUUAAAAUAAACCGGAAAGAACGGAGGUAAAAAUACUGGAGUGUUUCCUCCACACUGGAAAGGAGAGGUGAGUCAUAUCAUUGUGAUUGGUGUUUUAAGUAUAUUUUUAUUGUUAUUUUAAAUGGCAUUCAAGUUUAGCUUCAAGUUCAACAGCAGUCUUAGCCUACUUCCUCCCACACAAAUACUCCUGCCAGUAAAUAGGCACUCUUAAAUAAAACAGUGCCUGCAAGAACCUUCUGACCCAUUGAAGUUAGUCUUGCCCUGUCUUCAGAGGUGUAUUCGUCCCUCUCUGGGUGUAGAGCGGUAUUUAAGGGUGACACUUGGGCACGCAGGAGGUGUGGCAGGGGGCGGGGAAUGCAGGGUCACUGUGGCUCAGGGGCGGGUGUGGGUGCAGGCGCGUUGGGAGGACUCUGGGCGCCCUAGGAAGUCCGAGGGCAGGCGGCAGGGCUGGCGGCCGGCAGUGCUGGCUCCCCACGUGAGGUGGUGACGGCGGGCCCUGCUCCCAGGCCCUGUGCUGCCGACCGCUGUCCUGGCUGCGCAGCUCCCCAGCAGGCGCCGGGCUCAGGUCGCGCCUUCAGUUAGCGCUCAGCCUGCGCGCCUGCGUCUCCUCCGCUUGCGGUUUCUGGUCGGAUCCCAGCUGGCCCAGACUUGCUCUGAAGUAGGAGGAACCGCUGUCGAGCGAAAAGUGCACACCGGGUGAUUGAUGAACUCUUAAUAGAACUAACCUCUCCCGCCCCCCACCAUAGACACACACAGAGAAAUCCUCCACCCCAGCCCCUUCUCCAGUCCUCCUCGCGGGCGAGAGGGGACGCGGCCGCCAGCCGGUAGGGUGAUUAACUCACCGUCUGUCUUUGCAAAAGUGUUCCAGGUGGAUCAUGAGCACCCGCCCACCCCGCCCGCAGCCUGGCAGCUCGAGGAGGCGCGGAGAGCGCGCAGCGAGCGCGCGCGUCACGUGGCGGCGCGGACGUUUGUGCCGCGCGCCCACCAGACCGCCCAGGAGGCGGCGGCUAUUGUUCCCCGCCGGGGCCCGGGGCGCCAUGAAACGGGGUCCACGCCAGCCCCCUCCCGAGCGUGUCCUCAGGUCUAAGGACGGGUGGGGCUUCUUUUGUGUGUUCUCUGGAAGGGCCUGGGAUGGCGUCGUUGCUGCCCCAAGGGGUAACCGAGGCGGGAUGAAGGAAGAUGGUACCAGCUCCCUAGAGCUCAGCUCACCAGACCUACUCUUCCGCUCGGCCCUUGCAGAGGAGGUGGGGAGGGGUAUGGUAUUUGUAGGGCAGCGCUGUGAACAAUGGAACCAUCAAAAAGGCCUUCUCCCAGCCGCCUCACCAACCACGGACAUUCCUGGCCCAACAAGCCCUCCUGGCCUGGUUUUGAGCCCUGCUUCCCAGAUCUGGGGACCCUUCACCUGCCUCUACUACUGCAAAUGAUUGGAUAUUCGUCUGCCUUGGCUCUUCCCUAAUGUGUGGAACUAAUUUUGUUCACUCUGUUUCAUGCUGGACCUGGCCUGAAAAUGGGCCCUUACAUUGUCUUUGCACUUUCCAACUUGCCAAGUUUCUGAAAGAAGGACCAAAGUAAUGCCAAGAACUCCCAGAUGAAGAGGACCUUCCUUAGACCUAUAACAGAUUCACUACUUGACUUCAGAGGGACGUUUCAGCUAAUUCUCAGGAAAAGGUCAAAACAGGCCUGUGACUGUCCCUCGAAUACUGAAGGUAUAAACAAGCUUCUGGCUCCUCCAGGUCAAGCAGAGGAACACUUUUAUUAGAAUGAAGGGUUACUUCUUUGUUAUUCAAACACACACCCACACACAUCCUCUGUAGUCUCCCUAAUGAAAAACCUCAACAGAUGGAGAGCCUGAGCUCCCACGUCCGCAGGCUGAGAAGAUGCACUUCACUCAGGGGCCAGUGGGCUGGUACAGACUAGGGAAAGGAAAAGGGACAAAGGCUGCUAGUGUAGGUAAUCACUAUCUUCUAAUACUCCUAACACAUAGAAAUUUGAAAAAUCUUGUUCAGCAAUGUUAGCAGCCUCUGAAGCCUCGGAAACUAAUUUGGCUGAUGUGUCUCUGAUAGGGAGCUUAGGGCUGCACCGAGGGGAAACAUUCUCCUCCUGUAUUCUCUCCUCUCUCUCAUUUGAAAGCCUGUACAAAGAAAUGGUACAGGUGGAUGGUUAACUUAACGAUUCCAUCAGAGGCAGAUUUUUCUCUGUCAGGUUCCUGGAUGAGGUGGAGGUCUGAAAGCCAGGAGACAGAAUAUGUACUUAAUUGCCCCUUCUGACCUGCUUACCAGUGACCAGGACUACUCUCCAGGCCUUUCUUCUGCCACUUCCCCAUUCUUCCUGGCUAGUUCAGUUGGGUCUCAGCACUUCAACUCCUGGCUGGAUCCUGAGUUUUUCUUGGUUGCAGGGAAAGCUCUCACUGUCUGCAUCUCCUUCCCCACCCCCACCUCCCAUUUUGCAGCUGGUCAUUCUGGCUGCCUCACAGCUAUCCUGCCUUAAUUCACAUUUGAUUGCCUGGACAGAACACCACCAAGAAUGUCCAGACGACUGCCACCCCUCACCCAUGGGCCUGAGAUCCUGCCCUGACCCCUUUCUUCAGACCCGGGGAGGACCCACAAUCUCCCUGAUCCCCACCUUCCCCAAAGUGGUCUCUAUAGGAAAAAAGCAGAGCUGGCUAAGACCUGAGACAGAGCCAUUUCUUCCCCUUGGGCAAACGAGGUAGACCCUCCCAGAGACCAAUGCCGGAGAGACCCGGAUCCGAGCUCCCUUUAUAUGGCCUCCCCCAUCACGGAACCCGUGGGAAAACCUGGCACACAAUGGCGCGGCUGCUUCGGGCACCCUCAAGCCAGCACCCUGCGGCAAGGCCUGGAGCAGCCUCGUGGUCUUGGUGCGCUCCCUUUGCCCUCCCCGCAACCCUCUGCGAGCACUCGUCCCGGGAGAGAGACCCUGGCUAGGGUGGAGGUUGCCUCCCGCAAAGGGCGCUGUUGCUGGGGCCUCCCCUCCCCCAUUCUCUUGUUUUUCUGCUUCUGAGACUCGGGUGGGGGGGGCGGGGGGAGGCGGCAGGCGCCUCCGCAGCCGAUAGAGCAGCUAUUGUGACCUUCCGUUGCAGAGCGGGAACCCAGCCGAGUGUGUACCGCCGGCAGUGGCGGGGGAGGAGGCGACUGUGUGUGCAAACCUCAGUCGGAGAGGGGGUGGCGCUGGGAAAUAAAGGUUUGCAACCUCAGGCAGUUGGGCCCUUCAGAGGGCGUUUGGUUGUGUUCAGACUCGGGUGCUUUCUAACACUAAUUGCAGGCUCAAAAGGAGCGGAAUUUAUUGCGAAGGCCAAGGCGGCUUGUUUAUAAUUUAUGAAGUUUUAAAUGGCUGUGCCGCGGGCCCCAACUUUCUCCUGGGCUGGCAGCCGCGCGGAAACGCGCCCUCCCACGGCUCGCCGCCCACCCCCACCCACGCCCCUCAGAUGAGUCUCACGCCAAUGGCAGGAACAGAUCCGAGCUAUUAGAAGUCUCGGGAACCUCCAGAGGUGACAGAACGUGGCAGAUUUGGUCCAAGCCCUCACCCCACUCCAGAGGAGGGCGUCGGGGAAAGCUGCGGCUGCCUGGAGAGGGAGCCCCUGAUCCCACACUUCCUUGGAGCCUGAGUGUGAGAGGAAGCUAAUGUCAGCCGGGCUAGACACCGUUUAAAGUCUAAUCCAUGAAACCCUAAGCCACAAAUGACACUUGGGGCUUUGCAGACACCCGCAGACUCAGCAGAUACUCCUGCGGUAACACACUGUGCUGGAAAACGCCUGGAGCCAUGACACAUUAUGUAUUCUUAUUAUUUAUGGUAGGAAGAGGAGAUGAGGGAAAAUCGGGCUGAAUCUAAGCAGCCUGAGAAUUCAGCUAGUUAAUAUUUAGCCAGUUAAGAAAGGUGGUUGUAAUCGCUGCAAGGCAGUGAGCGCUUCCUUGAUUUCUCUAAUAGCUUAAAAAAUAAUUUCUUACAAGACAAUUAGAAAUUCUGCCUAUGGAUGCAAAUUUCAUAGAAAACAAUGUUAAGCCUUGAAAGUGGGUAAAAUGUGCCUUCGAUUGAAAUCAUUUAUUCUGUUGAUACACUUCUACAACAUAUAUAUUUUAAACCUGCUCAGAUAAAGUGAAAUUUAGCAAAAGGAUAUCCCCUCCCACCCCCAAAUCUAACAUGCCAUUUUAAAAACAGCACAAAGGAACAAGGAAACUAAAUAUUAUUUUGAGCCAUCAUUACUUAGUGAAAUACAAACAUCCAAAUAGAAACGAUUGUUGUUCCACCAGAAGAUUAGAAGUUAAAUUAUUUCCACACAAUAGGAAUUUCACCUCGUGUCAUCGGGGAUGUAGUAGGAAUUGCAUUAUUUGUCAAACCAAAUAGAGAUGUGUGGGCUGACUUUGCUGAAAUACAAAAGAAUUGAACCUUAUCUGAAGGCGUUUUCUAAGUGGCCCCUCCCAUAGAAGCCGGGAAGUUGUCCACCCCAAGCAGAAGCCACAUUAAUAUUUACAAAAUGGUUAUAAAUCCUUGAAGACAUUUUUGCCCAUUUUGUAUAAGAAACAGGAGUAAACAAGGUGUUUAUACUUGUUAUGUUUCAUUAAUGAAACUUUUAUUACUUUACAUCAUGGGGAAUGUUUGUUUUCUUUAGAAAUGAACUAAUGAUCACUACAAAGGAAGAAUUCAUGACAGCAUUUCCUAGAGAAAAAGCUUAGGUGCACGUCUCCAAAUGAUGGUUUCUUUUUCUACACCUUAGCUUUUUCAUAGCUCAAUUCUUUUUACAACUUCUCGUGUUUUUUUUUUUUUUUUUGAUUGUCAGUUUUCUUUCAAAGUUUAUUUUUUGUUACUUAAUGCAGAAAAGUGAGCUCUGGCCUCCCCAGUGUAAAGUCGAUUGUGUCUAGAAAGAAGGCAGUAAAAACAGCAAAGCAGGCGCUGCUUUCAAAAAGCCCUGCCCAAAUCAUCCUGCCCAGAACCUUUUUAGGUUUGCAUCCUCAUUUCCCCCUCCCCUAAUUUCAAUAGCUGGAAAGUAAUCAAGUAUCCCCAGAACCAAUUUAUGCACUAGACUCCAAAUAAAUAAAAUAUUUUUUUCAAAGUGUCA